UACGUAGGGUGCGAGCGUUGUCCGGAAUUACUGGGCGUAAAGAGCUCGUAGGUUGUUUGUCGCGUUGUUCGUGAAAACUCACAGCUUAACUGUGGGCGUGCGGGCGAUACGGGCAGACUGGAGUACUGCAGGGGAGACUGGAAUUCCUGGUGUAGCGGUGGAAUGCGCAGAUAUCAGGAGGAACACCGGUGGCGAAGGCGGGUCUCUGGGCAGUAACUGACGCUGAGGAGCGAAAGCGUGGGGAGCGAACAGG
This 253-nucleotide ribosomal RNA is filed under the name uncultured bacterium. RNAcentral's name for it is "partial 16S ribosomal RNA". It matches the Rfam family "Bacterial small subunit ribosomal RNA", at positions 524 to 776 of the family's 1533-position model. The record is from RNAcentral.